Non-coding RNA from Cavia porcellus (domestic guinea pig), 315 nucleotides. It matches the Rfam family "7SK RNA". From Rfam's summary of the family: 7SK was discovered as an abundant small nuclear RNA in the mid-70s but a possible function has only recently been suggested. Two independent studies have found that 7SK RNA binds the CDK9/cyclin T complex (known as elongation factor P-TEFb). The record is from Rfam. NCBI's taxonomy places the organism in Eukaryota, Metazoa, Chordata, Mammalia, Rodentia, Caviidae.
GGAUGUGAGGGCAAUCUGGUUGCAACAUCUGUCACUAUACUGAUGCCAGAGUUGAUUCCACUGAUCUGGUAGGACAGCCCUUCCUCCCUCACUGCCUCCUGUGCAUCCCUCGAUCAAAGAGGAUGACCAUCCCCAAUAGAGAAGAAUCAUUUCCUUCAUUUAGGGAUUCGGAGUAGCCGAGAUCCUGUGCUAGAACCUCCAAACAAGUUCUCAAUAACAAGAAAUACUACAAAUGUGCAUUAUCUCAGAGUUUCUACUGUGGAGAAUCCCCAGAUUUCAGGAAAAAGUGGAAUUCGUGUUCAGGGAACCUUCUCU